GCGGAAGUAGUUCAGUGGUAGAACAUCACCUUGCCAAGGUGAGGGUCGCGGGUUCGAAUCCCGUCUUCCGCUCCA
RNAcentral lists this transfer RNA (75 nucleotides) under Bacillus sp. D12. RNAcentral's name for it is "tRNA-Gly". It matches the Rfam family "tRNA". Rfam says of the family: Transfer RNA (tRNA) molecules are approximately 80 nucleotides in length. The record is from RNAcentral. Lineage: Bacteria; Bacillati; Bacillota; Bacilli; Caryophanales; Bacillaceae. RNAcentral also lists the same sequence under 19 other names.